This 879-nucleotide non-coding RNA is filed under the name Pinnotheres excussus. The record is from RNAcentral. Lineage: Eukaryota; Metazoa; Arthropoda; Malacostraca; Decapoda; Pinnotheridae.
UUGUACUUUAUUUAGUAUAAUUUUUUAUUUUUUUUUUUUUUUAUGUAAACUGUAAAUUUAGAAUAUUUAAGAAUUUGAUUUUAGUUUAAUUUUUUAUAAUAUUGUGGAAAUUACAUGAAAAUUUUUGUAGGUAAAAAAUAUUAUUUAAAAUAAAUUUGGUAGUAUAAAUAUUUAUAAUAAUUAUUAAAAUCUCAGUAUAAAAUAUUAAUGUCUUAUUAUAUGAAAAUAUGAAUUAGUCGCAAUGAUAAUCCUGAAAAAUGUUUGUGCCAGCUUUCGCGGUUAUACUUCAAGGAUAUAUAAAAAUAUUUAGGGUUAGUUGAAUGUAAUUUUUUUUAUUAUGAUUAUAUUAAAAGGUAAAAUUAAUUUAAUUUUUUCAUAGAUAAAAUAAAUUAAGAUUGAAGCUAAAAAGUUUUAGUUAUAAACUAGGAUUAGAUACCCUAUUAUUCUAAAAUUACUUAUUACCUAAACUAGUAAUAGAUAUUUACUUAAAAUUUAAAAGAUUUGGCGGUAAUUUAAUCUUUUCAGAGGAAUUUGUUUUUUAAUCGAUAAUCCGCGAAUUAUCUUACUUACUAAGGUGGAGAAUAAAGUUUGUAUACCAUCAUUAUCAGAUAAUUUUUAAAAGAUAAAUUAUUAUAAGUAAAAAUUUAACUAAAUUAGAUCAUGGUGCAGCUAAUGAGUAAGUUAAAAUGAAUUACAAUAAAAUUUUUUACACGGAUAAAUAGAAGAAUUUGUAUUUAGAAGGAGGAUUUGAUAGUAUCUUAAGUUUAAUAUGCUUAGGAGAUAAAGGCUCUAAAUUAUGUACAUAUCGCCCGUCGCUUUCAUUUAUGGAUGAAAUAAGUCGUAACAUAGUAAAGGUAUUGGAAAAUGUCUUUGGAUUUA